GUACGGGAGGCAGCAGUAGGGAAUAUUGCACAAUGGGGGAAACCCUGAUGCAGCAACGCCGCGUGAGUGAUGAAGGCCUUCGGGUUGUAAAGCUCUGUCGCAGGGGAAUAAAAAAAUGAAUGUACUCUGUAAGAAAGGGACGGCUAACUUCGUGCCAGCAGCCGCGGUAAGACGAGGGUCCCUAGCGUUGUUCGGAAUCAUUGGGCGUAAAGCGUGUGUAGGCGGCUUGGAAAGUCAGAUGUGAAAGCCCCGGGCUUAACCUGGGAAGUGCAUUUGAUACUACUAAGCUAGAGUAUCGGAGAGGAUAGUGGAAUUCCUGGUGUAGUGGUGAAAUACGUAGAUAUCAGGAGGAACACCGGAGGCGAAGGCGGCUAUCUGGCCGAAUACUGACGUUGAGACACGAAAGCGUGGGGAGCAAACAGGAUUAGAUACCCCGGU
RNAcentral lists this ribosomal RNA (438 nucleotides) under uncultured bacterium. RNAcentral describes it as "bacterial SSU rRNA". It matches the Rfam family "Bacterial small subunit ribosomal RNA", at positions 339 to 791 of the family's 1533-position model. The record is from RNAcentral.